CAGAGGGGCAAGCGUUAUCGGAAUUAUUGGGCGUAAAGGGCGCGUAGGCGGCUUGGCAAGUGGAAGGUGAAAUCCCUCGGCUUAACCGAGGAACUGCCUUCCAGACUGCUUUGCUUGAGGCCGGGAGAGGUGAGUGGAAUUCCCAGUGUAGCGGUGAAAUGCGUAGAUAUUGGGAGGAACACCAGUGGCGAAGGCGGCUCACUGGACCGGUUCUGACGCUGAGGCGCGAAAGCGUGGGGAGCAAACGGGAUUAGAUACCCCGGUAGUCCACGCCGUAAACGAUGAGUGCUUGGUGUAGCGGGUAUCGACCCCUGCUGUGCCGAAGUCAACACAUUAAGCACUCCGCCUGGGGAGUACGGUCGCAAGGCUG
This 370-nucleotide ribosomal RNA is filed under the name uncultured organism. RNAcentral describes it as "bacterial SSU rRNA". It matches the Rfam family "Bacterial small subunit ribosomal RNA", at positions 527 to 896 of the family's 1533-position model. The record is from RNAcentral.